Molecule: ribosomal RNA, 460 nt
Filed under: uncultured bacterium
Lineage: Bacteria
Description: partial 16S ribosomal RNA
Rfam family: Bacterial small subunit ribosomal RNA
Source: RNAcentral
CCUACGGGAGGCAGCAGUGAGGAAUAUUGGUCAAUGGACGCAAGUCUGAACCAGCCAUGCCGCGUGCAGGAUGACGGCUCUAUGAGUUGUAAACUGCUUUUGUACGAGGGUAAACCCCGAUACGUGUAUCGGGUUGAAAGUAUCGUACGAAUAAGGAUCGGCUAACUCCGUGCCAGCAGCCGCGGUAAUACGGAGGAUCCGAGCGUUAUCCGGAUUUAUUGGGUUUAAAGGGUGCGUAGGCGGUUUGAUAAGUUAGAGGUGAAAUGUCGGGGCUCAACCCCGAAACUGCCUCUAAUACUGUUGGAGUAGAGAAUAGUUGCGGUAGGCGGAAUGUAUGGUGUAGCGGGGAAAUGCUUAGAGAUCAUACAGAACACCGAUUGCGAAGGCAGCUUACCAAACUAUAUCUGACGUGGAGGAACGAAAGCGUGGGUAGCAAACAGGAUUAGAUACCCCAGUAGUC